Ahaetulla prasina is the source of this 441-nucleotide long non-coding RNA. RefSeq lists it as uncharacterized. Lineage: Eukaryota; Metazoa; Chordata; Lepidosauria; Squamata; Colubridae. The record is from RefSeq and is a predicted model, not a curated record. The transcript has 3 exons.
CUUCCAUCGAGUUUGGAAGCCACAGAGGAAGCCAUCCUCAGUGCUGGGAUGGCAGCAGCAUGGACUCUUCAAGGACGUGGUGCUCACCGGCUUCGCCCACAACAUCCGAUCCUCGGAUACCACUUGGUUGAAAAGUUGGGACUUCUGGAUGAGAAGAAACCAUUCCUGCUGCUUCGAAGGAAGGAAGAUAUUAGACCUGCCACAACUUAAACCUCUAAAUAGAAACAACCCUUGGCUCCAUCGGUUGAGAAAGACUACUUCCCAUAUCCUCACAGCAGACAGACAACAUGUCUACCAGUGAGCUCGAGAACAUUAUCGUAACAUCUUCUACAAGGGAAAAGCCACCAGCAUUAACUUAUGUAAUAUAGAUAGUCCUUGACUUCAACCAUUCAUUUAGAGAACACAGUUACAAUGGCAUUGAAAAAAGUGACUUAAAACAGA